CUGAGAGGGGACUCACAUAGUGUUUACCUGUUCCAAAGAAAUCACCUGGAGGUCCAGCAGCACUGCCAUUGCCCAAAUCCUUCCUGCACUCUGAAGCAGUGUGUCUCCCGGAUGCCAGCCAUGGCACAGCCCACGAACUGACAUAGCAUUCAGAUGCUGUCACCUUUUCUCUUGAAGACAUAGACCAAGAGAUGUGGAGUAUUUCCUGGGCCUGAACAGCGUUAAGAGAGUAGAUGUUUAGGGCUACCUUGAGCCCUGCCAGCACUGAGCUUUGGAUCACAAGUGACUGAGGCCCCCGGGUGUUCUUUAACACAUGUCUUUAUGGGAGGGAGGGUUGUAAUAUGUGAGCCCUCAAAAGUGAGGGCCUGGACCAGGGGCCGCAAGGAAACUUUCUGUGGGGAUGGAAAUGUUCCAUAUCUUGAUCUGUUUGAUGGUUCCAUCAGUGUAUAUGUUUGUCAAAAUUCAUCAAGCUGUUCACUUAAGAUUUGUGCAUUCGUGCAUGUGAAUUAUACUUCAAUAAAGUGCUGUUAGCAUAAAGGAUAAA
Molecule: long non-coding RNA, 544 nt
Organism: Cynocephalus volans (Philippine flying lemur)
Lineage: Eukaryota; Metazoa; Chordata; Mammalia; Dermoptera; Cynocephalidae
Exons: 2
Source: RefSeq, a predicted model, not a curated record